CAUGCUAGAGCACUUUUUCAAUGUGCUCCCCAACGAAAAGGCAACAACGCAUUCGUAUGUCAAUCCAUAUCAACUUUCAAUGCCAUUGACUGCGCCUACCAUGGUGACCAUGGGUAACGGGGGAAUCAGGGUUCGAUUCCGUACAGGGACCCUGACAAACGGCUACCACAUUCAAGGAAGGCAG
Molecule: non-coding RNA, 184 nt
Organism: Pelobates cultripes (western spadefoot toad)
Lineage: Eukaryota; Metazoa; Chordata; Amphibia; Anura; Pelobatidae
Source: the annotation of a GenBank genome assembly